GUUUUAGAAGCUUAUAUAAAGCAAUUAAUCUUGUAAAUUAAUAGAAAAAGUAAUAAAACCUUUCUAAAACU
Molecule: transfer RNA, 71 nt
Filed under: Asthenactis papyraceus
Lineage: Eukaryota; Metazoa; Echinodermata; Asteroidea; Spinulosida; Pythonasteridae
Also listed under: 1 other name
Description: tRNA-Thr
Source: RNAcentral